RNAcentral lists this ribosomal RNA (460 nucleotides) under uncultured bacterium. RNAcentral describes it as "partial 16S ribosomal RNA". It matches the Rfam family "Bacterial small subunit ribosomal RNA", at positions 338 to 795 of the family's 1533-position model. The record is from RNAcentral.
CCUACGGGGGGCAGCAGUGAGGAAUAUUGGUCAAUGGACGAGAGUCUGAACCAGCUAAGUAGCGUGAAGGAUGACUGCCCUAUGGGUUGUAAACUUCUUUUAUAAAGGAAUAAAACGAGGCACGUGUGCCUUUUUGCAUGUACGUUAUGAAUAAGGAUCGGCUAACUCCGUGCCAGCAGCCGCGGUAAUACGGAGGAUCCGAGCGUUAUCCGGAUUGAUUGGGUUUAAAGGGAGCGUAGAUGGGUUGUUAAGUCAGUUGUGAAAGUUUGCGGCUCAACCGUAAAAUUGCAAUUGAUACUGGCAGUCUUGAGUACAGUUGAGGUAGGCGGAAUUCGUGGUGUAGCGGUGAAAUGCUUAGAUAUCACGAAGAACUCCGAUUGCGAAGGCAGCUUACUAAACUGCAACUGACAUUGAUGCUCGAAAGUGUGGGUAUCAAACAGGAUUAGAUACCCCUGUAGUC